RNAcentral lists this ribosomal RNA (761 nucleotides) under Haemophilus influenzae. Its description in RNAcentral is "bacterial SSU rRNA". It matches the Rfam family "Bacterial small subunit ribosomal RNA", at positions 28 to 776 of the family's 1533-position model. The record is from RNAcentral. Lineage: Bacteria; Pseudomonadati; Pseudomonadota; Gammaproteobacteria; Pasteurellales; Pasteurellaceae.
AUUGAACGCUGGCGGCAGGCUUAACACAUGCAAGUCGAACGGUAGCAGGAGAAAGCUUGCUUUCUUGCUGACGAGUGGCGGACGGGUGAGUAAUGCUUGGGAAUCUGGCUUAUGGAGGGGGAUAACUACGGGAAACUGUAGCUAAUACCGCGUAGUAUCGGAAGAUGAAAGUGCGGGACCGCAAGGCCGCAUGCCAUGGGAUGAGCCCAAGUGGGAUUAGGUAGUUGGUGGGGUAAAGGCCUACCAAGCCUGCGAUCUCUAGCUGGUCUGAGAGGAUGGCCAGCCACACUGGAACUGAGACACGGUCCAGACUCCUACGGGAGGCAGCAGUGGGGAAUAUUGCGCAAUGGGGGGAACCCUGACGCAGCCAUGCCGCGUGAAUGAAGAAGGCCUUCGGGUUGUAAAGUUCUUUCGGUAUUGAGGAAGGUUGAUGUGUUAAUAGUACAUCAAAUUGACGUUAAAUACAGAAGAAGCACCGGCUAACUCCGUGCCAGCAGCCGCGGUAAUACGGAGGGUGCGAGCGUUAAUCGGAAUAACUGGGCGUAAAGGGCACGCAGGCGGUUAUUUAAGUGAGGUGUGAAAGCCCCGGGCUUAACCUGGGAAUUGCAUUUCAGACUGGGGUAACUAGAGUACUUUAGGGAGGGGUAGAAUUCCACGUGUAGCGGUGAAAUGCGUAGAGAUGUGGAGGAAUACCGAAAGGCGAAGGCAGCCCCUUGGGAAUGUGCUGACCCUCAUGUGCGAAAACGUGGGGAGCAAACAAG